Molecule: ribosomal RNA, 505 nt
Filed under: uncultured bacterium
Lineage: Bacteria
Description: bacterial SSU rRNA
Rfam family: Bacterial small subunit ribosomal RNA
Source: RNAcentral
AGAGUUUGAUCCUGGCUCAGGACGAACGCUGGCGGCGUGCUUAACACAUGCAAGUCGAACGAUGAUGCCCUGCUUGCAGGGUGGAUUAGUGGCGAACGGGUGAGUAACACGUGGGUGAUCUGCCCUGCACUUCGGGAUAAGCCUGGGAAACUGGGUCUAAUACCGGAUAUGACCCUCCUUUAGUGUGGGGGGUGGAAAGCUUUUGCGGUGUGGGAUGAGCCUGCGGCCUAUCAGCUUGUUGGUGGGGUAAUGGCCUACCAAGGCGUCGACGGGUAGCCGGCCUGAGAGGGUGAUCGGCCACAUUGGGACUGAGACACGGCCCAGACUCCUACGGGAGGCAGCAGUGGGGAAUAUUGCACAAUGGGCGAAAGCCUGAUGCAGCGACGCCGCGUGGGGGAUGAAGGCCUUCGGGUUGUAAACUCCUUUCGCUAGGGACGAAGAUGUAUUUUGACGGUACCUGGAGAAGAAGCACCGGCUAACUACGUGCCAGCCGCCGCGGUAAUAC